AACGUAGGAGACAAACGUUAUCCGGAGUUACUGGGCGUAAAGGGCGUGCAGGCGGUUAUCUAAGUCUGGUGUGAAAUCUGUCGGCUUAACCGGGAGAGGUCAUUGGAAACUGGAUAACUCGAGGACGGUAGAGGCGUGUGGAAUUCCGGGUGUAGUGGUGAAAUGCGUAGAUAUCCGGAGGAACACCAGUGGCGAAGGCGACACGCUGGGCCGUACCUGACGCUAAGACGCGACAGCAUGGGGAGCGAACGGGAUUAGAAACCCCGGUAGUCCAUGCCGUAAACGAUGCCAGCUGGAUGUUCGUACCUCGAAAGGGGUAUGGGUAUCGAAGCCAACGCGCUAAGCUGGCCGCCUGGGGAGUACGGUCGCAAGAUUAAA
Molecule: ribosomal RNA, 378 nt
Filed under: uncultured bacterium
Lineage: Bacteria
Description: bacterial SSU rRNA
Rfam family: Bacterial small subunit ribosomal RNA
Source: RNAcentral